UUAAGUUCAGCGGGUAUCCCUACCUGAUCCGAGGUCAACACUUGAGAGCUGAAGGGUUUAUCCGGGCGGGACGGGUGCCAACGCUUCGCGACGCAAAGAUGCUCACUACGCUGACGUCGACACCAUCGUCCGCCUUUGGAAUUCGGGACGACCGCCGUUCGAGGACGGUCCCGCCCCAACACCGAGCGAUGAAGCUCGAG
RNAcentral lists this unclassified non-coding RNA (200 nucleotides) under Scutellinia sp. RNAcentral describes it as "partial internal transcribed spacer 2". The record is from RNAcentral. Lineage: Eukaryota; Fungi; Ascomycota; Pezizomycetes; Pezizales; Pyronemataceae.